Molecule: ribosomal RNA, 447 nt
Filed under: uncultured bacterium
Lineage: Bacteria
Description: bacterial SSU rRNA
Rfam family: Bacterial small subunit ribosomal RNA
Source: RNAcentral
GAUGAACGCUAGCAGAACGCCUAACACAUGCAAGUCGAACGAACCAGCAAUGGUUAGUGGCAAACGGGCGAGUAACGCGUAUCUAACCUACCCUUGAGUGAGGCACAACUACAGAGAUGUAGCUAAUUCCUCAUACGUUCUAGAGAAUGAAAAUAUCUAGAAGAAAGAUUUAUCGCUCAGGGAGGGGGGUGCGUCCUAUCAGGUAGUUGGUGAGGUAAUAGCUCACCAAGCCUAUGACGGGUAGCCGGUCUGAGAGGAUGUCCGGCCGCAAUGGAACUGAGAACGGUCCAUACUCCUACGGGAGGCAGCAGUGGGGAAUAUUGGACAAUGGGCGAAAGCCUGAUCCAGCGAUUCUGCGUGAAGGAUGAAGCCUUAUGGGGUGUAAACUUCUUUUCUGGGGGAAACGGAAUGACGGUACCUCAGGAAUAAGAGACGGCUAACUACGUG